AAUGGCGCAUACAAAGAGAAGCGACCUCGCGAGAGCAAGCGGACCUCAUAAAGUGCGUCGUAGUCCGGAUUGGAGUCUGCAACUCGACUCCAUGAAGUCGGAAUCGCUAGUAAUCGUGGAUCAGAAUGCCACGGUGAAUACGUUCCCGGGCCUUGUACACACCGCCCGUCACACCAUGGGAGUGGGUUGCAAAAGAAGUAGGUAGCUUAACCUUCGGGAGGGCGCUUACCACUUUGUGAUUCAUGACUGGGGUGAAGUCGUAACAAGGUAACCGUAGGGGAACCUGCGGUUGGAUCACCUCCUU
This 304-nucleotide ribosomal RNA is filed under the name Escherichia coli. RNAcentral describes it as "partial 16S ribosomal RNA". It matches the Rfam family "Bacterial small subunit ribosomal RNA", at positions 1229 to 1532 of the family's 1533-position model. The record is from RNAcentral. Lineage: Bacteria; Pseudomonadati; Pseudomonadota; Gammaproteobacteria; Enterobacterales; Enterobacteriaceae.